RNAcentral lists this ribosomal RNA (279 nucleotides) under uncultured bacterium. RNAcentral describes it as "partial 16S ribosomal RNA". It matches the Rfam family "Bacterial small subunit ribosomal RNA", at positions 506 to 784 of the family's 1533-position model. The record is from RNAcentral.
UGCCAGCAGCCGCGGUAAUACGAAGGGUGCUAGCGUUGUUCGGAAUUACUGGGCGUAAAGAGCAUGUAGGCGGAUGAAUUAGUCAGAGGUGAAAGCCCCGAGCUCAACUUGGGAACUGCCUUUGAUACUGUUUAUCUAGAGUCCGAGAGAGGUUAGUGGAAUUCCCAGUGUAGAGGUGAAAUUCGUAGAUAUUGGGAAGAACACCAGUGGCGAAGGCGGCUAACUGGCUCGGUACUGACGCUGAGAUGGGGAGGGGUGGGGGGCAGAGAGGAUUAGAUG